Long non-coding RNA from Canis lupus familiaris (dog), 3172 nucleotides. RefSeq lists it as uncharacterized. Lineage: Eukaryota; Metazoa; Chordata; Mammalia; Carnivora; Canidae. The record is from RefSeq and is a predicted model, not a curated record. The transcript has 3 exons.
GGAACACUGAUGAUUACUAGGCAUCUUUUUACUUAUCAUUCAGUUGAAUCUAGCAAACUAAAUGGCAAAGUUAAUGUUGACCAGAGAGUCUGUAGAAACUGAACGAGAUAAGGACCCUUACAUCAAUAGGCAAACUUCAAUUUCCACUACAACCAAACUGAAUGGACUAAUGGGAUUCAGAGAAAGGCAUGAAAACUGCAGAAGGAGGUGGAAGACAAGCAAAAUGCUUGGUCCAGGUGUAAGCUGACAACUCACUUGAAGAGCAAGUUUCUGUGCAAGCAGAGGGAAGAGCUCCCAGGGCUGGUCCUGGUGAUAUUCUGAAGAGGGAGCCCUGUGCCUCACUGCCCUCCACGGAGGCCUGCUGAGCUCCAGAAGGUGUGUGGAGUGGAUGGUUCCAAUGAGAAGGCCCCUAUAAAAUUUAGAGAUCACAAGAUAGAGGUGACUGGUAAUGAUUAGAAAAGCCCAUAAAGCAAACCAGAUGUGAGAUUCUCCUCUAUCGUGCAGGAGCCGUAGAGCAGUGAUGACAGGUCUAAGCUCAGACAGGCCUAGCACAAUCUUGGCAGCUGUGCUCAACCUCUAAAUGGCAUGGGAGAGAUCCUAAAGCUUCCUGCCACCCCCAAGAAGGGACAUGAAUGACCUGAGGGAAGGCUGAAACACUUGAAGGAUGCUGGAGGUCAGCAGGGAGAAACACUGGCUUCCAGAGUGGGACCACACAUUGAUAAGGUGUCAAUAGUCUCAUGUACCAAUGGGGCAAAAAGGUCCACUGAGCCCCAGGAAGAAUGGUCGUGGCUUAGCAGAUGCCAGGAGGUUAAAGAACAGGUGAGCACAGCAGAAGCCUUGUGAUGAUCUGCUCCUCAUCGUCCCCCUACCCACACCCCAAAAACACCCACCCAGGGCCAUGACUCCUUGGGUGACCUCACAAAGGAAUGCCCCUCAGGAAGAAGGCAAGAUCAUGAAUUAACUGAAGUUUCAAUUUGAAACACCAGACACAUGACCACAGUUUCUGUUAUUAGGCAGAAUAAUGCCUGAAACUGUAGAUUAAGUCCCAUUAUUAGACAAAUAAUGGAAGUUAUACAUUUGUAGGCACCUGCAAAAAUGGAAUGUAACUAUUGCACACAAUGUACAAAGGUCAUGUCUGCUCUCUACACAGCGUUGAGGACGUAAUUUUAGAAUCUGGGUGGCUGUUUCUCUUAAGAACAGCUUUUUAUCUAAUGAUGACAGCAUCCAUGACAUAAGGAACAUUUUGGAUAUUUUUUUUGGAGGGGGGAGUUUUUAGUCACUAGAUACUCAUUUCUCUGUAAUUAUGAACUUGUAGAGUUUUAAAACUAUGAUUGUAUUGGUUUGCUAAAGCUGUUGCAACAAAGUAUCACAAACCAGGUAGCUUAAACAUAGAAACACUUCAUCCCAUGGUUUUGGAGGCCAGAAAUCAGAGAUCAAGGCCUCAGUCCGCAGAGCCAGUUCCUUCUGAGUGCUUCAUGGGAAGGAUCUGGUCCAGACCUCACUCCUCAGCUCUGACAUGGCCACCUCUUCGCUGUGUCUCUUUACAUUGUCUUUCUUCUGUGUGUAUCUGUCUCUGUGUCCAAAUUUCUCCCUUUUUUUUUAAUAAAAGUGCCAGUCCUACGGAUUAGGACCCAUCUAAUGAUCUCAUCCUUACUUAACUACAUCUGCAAUGACUCUUUUGCCAACGAAGGUCACAUUCUAAGAUACUGAAGGCUAGGACUUCAACAUACUGAUCUUCAAGAGGACACAUAAUGAUGAUUUAGUCUGUGAUGAUUAAGCUAUCAGAAAAAAAGUUUAUUGGGUUUCCAUGAUUUCUGUUACUCUAUAUUUUCUGCAAAGAUUCCUCAAAAAUAAUACCACAGAGGACAAUAGGGAAUGGUAUUGGCUUCUGGCUUAAUUCACUGUAAGUGAGCAGCACUAUCACUAAUGUAAUUUGCCUUGAAAAUAUAAACGAUUAUCAGUAUAAAGGUCUUUGUGUGUAUUUCAGCAGCUCUAAGACACUAUUGAUUUUAGUUACACCAUUAUCUGUGUACUAAUAGGAAAGAACUGUGACAUGCUAAGUAGCUUUACCUUCCUGGAAGUCAUUCCACAGUCUUUCAGACCUAGUCUUGCACAAAUCACCCUCCUGUAGAAAACACCCCCCUGCCACCACUGCAUCAUGUGACAUAUGACAUGUUUGUUUACUUAUUUGUUCCCUCUGUCUUUCUUUCUCCCACUAGAAUGCAGGUUCUAUAGAAGAAAAGCUUUGGUCAAUUUUGUUCGCCCACUCUCACCGACCCUGAAAGGGCCUGACACGUAGUAGGCACUCAGUGCUUAUUUUCUGAAUUUUUAAAUAAAUUCCAUAAAUUAUAUAUCUCAAAGAGAAUGUAUGUAUUGCCUGUAUGUAUGUAAAUUUAUUAUGAGCACAUCAUUUUACUAUGUACAUUCUAUAUUCUGUAUUAUAUACAUGAAUCAAUAUUUUUACAUGGUUCGUCCAUGUAGAUAUAAUUACUGGUCACUUGUCUGGGACAUUGAGCAAAAUCAUCAAAAUGAUCAUAUUUCUAAGCUUACUUGAUAUUAGCACCAUCUAGAGAGGGGAAUAAAUGUCAGUGAUUAAUCUUGAUACAAAUUUUUCUUUCUUUCCCCACUCCUUUGUUAUUGAGAUGCACCACUGUCCUGAGGGAAGACAAGAGACUAGAUGUUCACAAGCAUAUCAAGACACAGCCCUCCCCCAUCUAAUCACCCGGGUCACAGGCCUGCAGUUGGCCCUCAGACUGUGCUUUUGAGAGCCAGCUGCUUUUUCAAGGUUUGAACUGGCCUGAACCAGCCUCCAUCUCUGCAGAAAUGGAUGGAAGGCGAUGACAAGUUAUGUGGUUUGCCCAUCUUACUCUCUCUUGGGAUCCUCCAGUUGGCAUCAUUGCUACUCUUGAGAAAAAUUUAAAGGAAGAACUCCAUUAGUAAUUUCAGGUCAUUAGUGUCUUCAAGAGAUUGACACCGCUGUUACUGAAUAUAUACUACUAAUAACAACUCACACAUUCAUGAUGUGCUUAUCCUAGCCUCAGCAGAGUGGUAGGUGUUAACAUAGGAACAGUCCUGCUCUACUCAGAACAAUAAGGGUCACCCAAACAAAUCAGGCCCUGACACCUAGAUCCUGUGAAUGUUACCUUAUUUGGAAAAAAAAAAAGUCUUGUCU